UGCGCGGUAGUAUAAGGGUUAGUACGUGGGACUCAUGAUCCCAAGUUAGGAGUUCGAAUCUCCUCUGCGCGU
This 72-nucleotide transfer RNA is filed under the name Haliscomenobacter hydrossis DSM 1100. Its description in RNAcentral is "tRNA-Met (CAT) (tRNA-Met-CAT-2-1)". It matches the Rfam family "tRNA". Rfam says of the family: Transfer RNA (tRNA) molecules are approximately 80 nucleotides in length. Their secondary structure includes four short double-helical elements and three loops (D, anti-codon, and T loops). RNAcentral also lists the same sequence under 1 other name. The record is from Rfam by way of RNAcentral. Lineage: Bacteria; Pseudomonadati; Bacteroidota; Saprospiria; Saprospirales; Haliscomenobacteraceae.